Molecule: transfer RNA, 81 nt
Filed under: Felis catus (domestic cat)
Lineage: Eukaryota; Metazoa; Chordata; Mammalia; Carnivora; Felidae
Rfam family: tRNA
About the family: Transfer RNA (tRNA) molecules are approximately 80 nucleotides in length. Their secondary structure includes four short double-helical elements and three loops (D, anti-codon, and T loops).
Source: Rfam by way of RNAcentral
GCCCGGGUGGCUCUGUCGGCUGAGCACCUGACUUCGGCUCAGGUCACAAUCUCCUUGUGAGUUCGAGUCCCGCCUCGGGCU